AUGUGGAACGAUGAGCUGCAGGUUUCUAUAUAUAGUGCUUCCUUUCAUGCUAUUUUAGCUAAUGUUAUUCAUAGGGCCUCGGGUAUUGAGUUCGGUUUAGUUUGCAUCUAUGGUGACCCAUACCACCAUCAAACUAAGGCUAUUUGGGACCAGGUUGCUAAUUUUGUGUAUGAUAACUUAGGCAAGCCUAUGUUAUGUAUGGGUGACUUGAAUGAUAUCUUGUAUGAUAUUGAUAAGUGCAAUGCUAAUGUUAAUUUUUAUUGUAUGUCUGCUUUU
RNAcentral lists this ribosomal RNA (276 nucleotides) under Triticum aestivum (bread wheat). RNAcentral describes it as "partial small subunit ribosomal RNA". The record is from RNAcentral. Lineage: Eukaryota; Viridiplantae; Streptophyta; Magnoliopsida; Poales; Poaceae.